This is a long non-coding RNA of Mercurialis annua (annual mercury), 330 nucleotides long. RefSeq lists it as uncharacterized. The transcript is spliced from 2 exons. NCBI's taxonomy places the organism in Eukaryota, Viridiplantae, Streptophyta, Magnoliopsida, Malpighiales, Euphorbiaceae. The record is from RefSeq and is a predicted model, not a curated record.
UAGAGUUAGAGUCUGUUUUUAUAAUUAUUACCUUGGCUAGACCCGUUGAUUGUUCGUACUUCAGAGGCGAACCAGAGUUAAAUUGUUUGCCAAGUUUCACGUGGAAUAGCAAGCAGGUUAUGAUUUGAGCGAGUCAGCUGGUCUCCGAUUCUUUAUUUCCUCGGAGGUCUUACCUUAUUUUAUUAAAGUUAUUGAACUGGUUUUACUCUUAGACCGCAAUAGUAAUUAGAAGUCUUACUUGUCUGCUACUUGUUAUCAAGUUUAAUUCAAUUGAUAUAUGUAUAUUGUUUAGCAUUCUUAUAUUAACUUGGGUUGAUAAGUAUUUAUGCC